Molecule: ribosomal RNA, 278 nt
Filed under: uncultured Ruminiclostridium sp.
Lineage: Bacteria; Bacillati; Bacillota; Clostridia; Eubacteriales; Oscillospiraceae
Description: partial 16S ribosomal RNA
Rfam family: Bacterial small subunit ribosomal RNA
Source: RNAcentral
GCAGCCGCGGUAAUACGUAGGUGGCGAGCGUUAUCCGGAAUUACUGGGUGUAAAGGGUGUGUAGGCGGGGAGGCAAGUCAGAUGUGAAAAUUAUGGGCUCAACCCAUAACCUGCAUUUGAAACUGUUUCUCUUGAGAGUGGGAGAGGUAAACGGAAUUCCUGGUGUAGUAGUGAAAUGCGUAGAUAUCAGGAGGAACACCGGUGGCGAAGGCGGUUUACUGGACCACAACUGACGCUGAGACACGAAAGCGUGGGGAGCAAACAGGAUUAGAUACCCC